GCAGAUUGGGAAUGUCAUAUACGAAGAGGUGAGUCGAGCGUGGAGUCGGGUCUGGUAAAAUUUCUGGCUUCUUUGCCUAACAUCAGUGCUCUUCUUUGCCUAUCUUUGUUUCGAGGAAGAGUGCCGUGCGUUAUGGCUUUCCGUUUGGUAGGAAGACAAAUGGUUGCUGGUGCUGGUAGGGAUGUGCUUGGAGCACCAACGACACAAAUCAGGGGAUACUGCCAGCAAACCUCCUCCGUUCCUGAUUACAUAGUUCGUCGUAGUGCUAAACUUUUUGUCACCGGGGCAGUAUUAGCUGUUACCGUCAUUUAUCUCGUGUAUGUAACUCACUUUUUACUUUUAUCCUAGAAAACUCCUCUUUUUGCUUGGUGAUCAGUUCUGUUUGUUUUUUAAUAAUCAACAAUGAAUAUUGUACUUUGAAAUCAAAUGGUACACCCCUAUACUAAUGGAUUUCCACACAAAUAUUAGCUUGAAUACAUAAUAUUUUCUUUACUAGGGUGUUAAAAUAUGAGGUAUAUCCC
Nicotiana tabacum (common tobacco) is the source of this 521-nucleotide non-coding RNA. NCBI's taxonomy places the organism in Eukaryota, Viridiplantae, Streptophyta, Magnoliopsida, Solanales, Solanaceae. The record is from RefSeq and is a predicted model, not a curated record.